Molecule: microRNA, 22 nt
Filed under: Branchiostoma floridae (Florida lancelet)
Lineage: Eukaryota; Metazoa; Chordata; Leptocardii; Amphioxiformes; Branchiostomatidae
Description: Bfl-Mir-193-P1o2_3p (mature (guide))
Source: RNAcentral
UACUGGCUCUCAAAGUCCUGAU